Molecule: ribosomal RNA, 497 nt
Filed under: uncultured bacterium
Lineage: Bacteria
Description: partial 16S ribosomal RNA
Rfam family: Bacterial small subunit ribosomal RNA
Source: RNAcentral
GAUGAACGCUGGCGGCGUGCCUAAUACAUGCAAGUCGAGCGAACGGACGAGAAGCUUGCUUUUCUGAUGUUAGCGGCGGACGGGUGAGUAACACGUGGAUAACCUACCUAUAAGACUGGGAUAACUUCGGGAAACCGGAGCUAAUACCGGAUAAUAUUUUGAACCGCAUGGUUCAAAAGUUAAAGACGGUCUUGCUGUCACUUAUAGAUGGAUCCGCGCUGCAUUAGCUAGUUGGUAAGGUAACGGCUUACCAAGGCAACGAUGCAUAGCCGACCUGAGAGGGUGAUAGGACAAACUGGAACUGAGACACGGUACAGACUACUACGGGAGGCAGCAGUAGGGAAUCUUCCGCAAUGGGCGAAAGCCUGACGGAGCAACGCAGCGUGAGUGAUGAAGGUCUUCGGAUCGUAAAACUCUGUUAUUAGGGAAGAACAUAUGUGUAAGUAACUGUGCACAUCUUGACGGUAACUAAUCAGAAAGCCACGGCUAACUACGUG